UACGGAGGAUCCAAGCGUUAUCCGGAAUCAUUGGGUUUAAAGGGUCCGUAGGCGGUUUGGUAAGUCAGUGGUGAAAGCCCAUCGCUCAACUGGUGGAACGGCCAUUGAUACUGCCAGACUUGAAUUAUUAGGAAGUAACUAUGAAUAUGUAGUGUAGCGGUGAAAUGCUUAGAGAUUACAUGGAAUACCAAUUGGCGAAGGCAGGUUACUACGUAAUGGAUUGACGCUGAUGGACGAAAGCGUGGGUAGCGAACAGG
Molecule: ribosomal RNA, 257 nt
Filed under: uncultured bacterium
Lineage: Bacteria
Description: partial 16S ribosomal RNA
Rfam family: Bacterial small subunit ribosomal RNA
Source: RNAcentral